RNAcentral lists this ribosomal RNA (468 nucleotides) under uncultured bacterium. Its description in RNAcentral is "partial 16S ribosomal RNA". It matches the Rfam family "Bacterial small subunit ribosomal RNA", at positions 28 to 507 of the family's 1533-position model. The record is from RNAcentral.
GACGAACGCUGGCGGCGUGCUUAACACAUGCAAGUCGAACGGAAAUGCCCUGCUUUUGUGGGUUGCUCAAGUGGCGAAAGGGUGAGUAACACGUGAGUAACCUGCCCUUGACUUUGGGAUAACUUCAGGAACCUGGGGCUAAUACCGGAUAGGCUCUCCUGCUGCAUGGUUGGGGUUGGAAAGUUUCGGCGGUUGGGGGUGGACUCGCGGAUUAUCAUCUUGUUGGUGGGGUAGUGGCUUACCAAGGAUGUGACGGGUAGCCGGCCUGAGAGGGUGACCGGCCACAUGGGGAGUGAGAUACGGCCGAGACUCCGACGGGAGGGAGGAGUGGGGAAUAUGGCAAAAUGGGCGGAAGCCUGAGGGAGAAACGGCGUGUGCGGGAUGAGGGACUUCGUGUUGUAGACCGGUUGAGCCGGUGACGAAGCGUGAGUGAAGGGAAUGGGUAAAGAAGCACCGGCUAACUACGUG